GAUGAACGCUGACAGAAUGCUUAACACAUGCAAGUCUUUGGCGAAGCUGUGCUUGCACAGCCUAGCCAAGGCGGACGGGUGAGUAACGCGUAAGGAACUUGCCCUGCAGUCAGGGAUAACAGACGGAAACGACUGAUAAGACCUGGUAAAGUCAGGCGGACUCAUGUCCAGCCUGAUGAAAAGAGAUGCUGCAGGAGAGCCUUGCGUCCUAUUAGCUUGUUGGUGGGGUAACGGCCCACCAAGGCGAUGAUAGGUAGCCGGCCUGAGAGGGUGGACGGCCACAAGGGGACUGAGAUACGGCCCUUACUCCUACGGGAGGCAGCAGUGGGGAAUAUUGGACAAUGGGGGCAACCCUGAUCCAGCAAUUCUGUGUGCACGAUGAAGGUUUUCGGACUGUAAAGUGCUUUCAGCAGGGAAGAAAAAAAUGACGGUACCUGCAGAAGAAGCGACGGCUAAAUACGUG
RNAcentral lists this ribosomal RNA (463 nucleotides) under uncultured bacterium. RNAcentral describes it as "partial 16S ribosomal RNA". It matches the Rfam family "Bacterial small subunit ribosomal RNA", at positions 28 to 507 of the family's 1533-position model. The record is from RNAcentral.